GAUGAAGAACGUAGCGAAAUGCGAUAAGUAGUGUGAAUUGCAGAAUUCAGUGAAUCAUCGAAUCUUUGAACGCACAUUGCGCCUCCUGGUAUUCCGGGAGGCAUGCCUGUUCGAGCGUCAUUAAAAUCACUCAAGCUUAGGUUUGCCUAUUGCUUGGUCUUGAAGAUGGAAGCUAAGUAAUUAGAAUCCUCUUCGAAAUCCAAUGGCGAAGACCCUUGCUCUCCCAAGUGUAGUAAUAACUUAUUCACUGAAGGAAGCGAGUAAUCUUCCGCCGUAACCCCCAUAUUUUCUAUGAUUGACCUCGGAUCAGGUAGGGAUACCCGCUGAACUUAAGCAUAUCAAUAAGCGGAGGA
Molecule: unclassified non-coding RNA, 353 nt
Filed under: soil metagenome
Description: partial contains 5.8S ribosomal RNA, internal transcribed spacer 2, and large subunit ribosomal RNA
Rfam family: 5.8S ribosomal RNA (bases 1-120)
Source: RNAcentral